Molecule: ribosomal RNA, 491 nt
Filed under: uncultured bacterium
Lineage: Bacteria
Description: partial 16S ribosomal RNA
Rfam family: Bacterial small subunit ribosomal RNA
Source: RNAcentral
GUGAACGCUGGCGGUAGGCCUAACACAUGCAAGUCGAACGGCAGCACAGUAAGAGCUUGCUCUUACGGGUGGCGAGUGGCGGACGGGUGAGGAAUACAUCGGAAUCUACUUUUUCGUGGGGGAUAACGUAGGGAAACUUACGCUAAUACCGCAUACGACCUACGGGUGAAAGCAGGGGAUCUUCGGACCUUGCGCGAUUGAAUGAGCCGAUGUCGGAUUAGCUAGUUGGCGGGGUAAAGGCCCACCAAGGCGACGAUCCGUAGCUGGUCUGAGAGGAUGAUCAGCCACACUGGAACUGAGACACGGUCCAGACUCCUACGGGAGGCAGCAGUGGGGAAUAUUGGACAAUGGGCGCAAGCCUGAUCCAGCCAUACCGCGUGGGUGAAGAAGGCCUUCGGGUUGUAAAGCCCUUUUGUUGGGAAAGAUAAGCAGCAGGUUAAUACCCCGCUGUUCUGACGGUACCCAAAGAAUAAGCACCGGCUAACUUCGUG